This 506-nucleotide ribosomal RNA is filed under the name uncultured bacterium. Its description in RNAcentral is "partial 16S ribosomal RNA". It matches the Rfam family "Bacterial small subunit ribosomal RNA", at positions 30 to 523 of the family's 1533-position model. The record is from RNAcentral.
AUUGAACGCUAACGGCAUGCUUAACACAUGCAAGUCGAACGGCAGCACAGUAGUAGCAAUACUAUGGGUGGCGAGUGGCGGACGGGUGAGUAAUACAUAGGAAUCUGCCUUAUAGUGGGGGAUAACCCGGGGAAACUCGGGCUAAUACCGCAUAAUCUCUACGGAGCAAAGUGUGGGACCUUCGGGCCAUACGCCAAAAAAUGAGCCUAUGUCGGAUUAGCUAGUUGGUGGGGUAAAGGCCUACCAAGGCAACGAUCCGUAGCUGGUCUGAGAGGAUGAUCAGCCACACUGGGACUGAGACACGGCCCAGACUCCUACGGGAGGCAGCAGUGGGGAAUAUUGGACAAUGAGCGAAAGCCUGAUCCAGCAAUGCCGUGUGUGUGAAGAAGGCCUUCGGGUUGUAAAGCACUUUUAGUUGGGAAGAAAAGUUCAUGGCUAAUAUCCAUGAAUGCUGACGUUACCAACAGAAAAAGCACUGGCUAACUCUGUGCCAGCAGCCGCGGUAA